Molecule: long non-coding RNA, 1224 nt
Filed under: Triticum aestivum (bread wheat)
Lineage: Eukaryota; Viridiplantae; Streptophyta; Magnoliopsida; Poales; Poaceae
Description: long non-coding RNA (TAES_LNC007586)
Source: RNAcentral
GCUAAAUUCCUGUGAACAUACUAGGACAAAUUACACAGUGAUUCCGGGCAUAAAUACAUUGAAAAAUCUUGCAUAUCUGGGAAUAUACACUGGAAUUAGGGGGGAAAUUACACAAUACUGCUAGCACAAAUUACACUGUAAUCGAACAAUAAAUAACACAGUAUUUGGGAGAAUGACACAGUAAUUACAGAUAUGGGAGAAUUACACUGUAAAGCAUGUUAAUUACACUGUAAAAAUGGCAGAAUUACACUGCAAAAGGUGGGACAGUGAGGUUCUGCAAACCUAUUACACAGUAGUUACACUGUAAUUCUGGGGGUAUGAUCCACUGUACUUUUGAGCUACAUUACAUGUCUCGGGGGUAAAAUUACACAGUAAUAGAAGCAUCAAAUUCAGAGAGCUUCCUGGAACACAUUCAGACAUGCCUCAUCUACCAGGGGAAAAUCAUAAGCAGCCACCUGCAACUACAAAAAAGCAGGCCAGAUCAUCCCCAACUGUCACCUAACGGCAAGGGAACAGACACCCCAAGCUAGCAGAAAGCAGGAAAUCACCCGCUGCAACAACCAGUACGCCUACCUCCACCAUCUACAUCACAAAAUAAAACAAAUCUAAAAGCCUACAUCCACAUCUACACAGGAAAACGGAAACCCUAGAACCCGCAACUACAAAAGCUCCUACACAACGCAGGCUAGCACAAAAGGGGGCGGGCGAAAUUGGGCGGAUUCACCAAGAACAACAAACAGAACAUCCACGAAGACGAGAACUCAGCUAGAUUUGGAACUACACGACGAGAGCACAAGCGAAAACACCUGGGGCCAGCGGGGGGAUUAGGGGAACCAACCUCGGCAGCCGGGGGCAAAGAGAAUAGGGAGGACAAAAUCAAAAUCGAAUGGUGGAAUAGCUCGGAAUCGCCUCUCUCCUCCGCCUCUCUCCUUCGCCGCUCGAGCUCUCUCCCUCGGCCUUAUCGAAACAGAGCGACCCAAAUGAAAAGGGAGACGACACCCACUCGGAAAUUCAAGCAGGACAAAAACCAAUAGUACCGCGACGGGGCGGUUUCGGGUUGAGAUAAAGAAAACCGAACCCGACAACCGCAAACCAAACUGAGCGAACAGAGCGCCAGCGCAAAGAAAAAAAGAAAACGAACGUGAAUCUCCGCGCCAGAACGGACGGACAGAAAUUUGAAUGACGAUGAAUUAAAAAACAGCUGACUGUAAAAUAGCAAAUCCG